Molecule: transfer RNA, 76 nt
Filed under: Vibrio vulnificus
Lineage: Bacteria; Pseudomonadati; Pseudomonadota; Gammaproteobacteria; Vibrionales; Vibrionaceae
Also listed under: 4 other names
Description: tRNA-Trp(cca)
Rfam family: tRNA
About the family: Transfer RNA (tRNA) molecules are approximately 80 nucleotides in length. Their secondary structure includes four short double-helical elements and three loops (D, anti-codon, and T loops).
Source: RNAcentral
GGGGUGUAGCUCCAAUUGGCAGAGCAGCGGAUUCCAAAUCCGCGUGUUGGGAGUUCGAAUCUCUCCACCCCUGCCA